This 254-nucleotide ribosomal RNA is filed under the name uncultured bacterium. RNAcentral describes it as "partial 16S ribosomal RNA". It matches the Rfam family "Bacterial small subunit ribosomal RNA", at positions 524 to 776 of the family's 1533-position model. The record is from RNAcentral.
UACGAAGGGGGCUAGCGUUGUUCGGAAUUACGGGGCGUAAAGCGCGCGUAGGCGGUUUUGCAAGCCAGAGGUGAAAUGCCUGAGCUCAACUUAGGAAUUGCCUUUGGGACUGUGAGGCUUUGAGGACUGGAGAGGUGAGUGGAAUUCCCAGUGUAGAGGUGAAAUUCGUAGAUAUUGGGAAGAACACCGGUGGCGAAGGCGGCUCACUGGCCAGUUUCUGACGCUGUAGCGCGAAAGCGUGGAGAUCAAACAGG